RNAcentral lists this ribosomal RNA (944 nucleotides) under uncultured bacterium. RNAcentral's name for it is "bacterial SSU rRNA". It matches the Rfam family "Bacterial small subunit ribosomal RNA", at positions 55 to 1014 of the family's 1533-position model. The record is from RNAcentral.
AUGCAGUCGAACGAGAGAAGAGAAGCUUGCUUUUCUGAUCUAGUGGCGGACGGGUGAGUAACACGUGAGCAAUCUGCCUUUCAGAGGGGGAUACCGAUUGGAAACGAUCGUUAAUACCGCAUAAUAUAAUUGAACCGCAUGAUUUGAUUAUCAAAGAUUUAUCGCUGAAAGAUGAGCUCGCGUCUGAUUAGCUAGUUGGUAAGGUAACGGCUUACCAAGGCGACGAUCAGUAGCCGGACUGAGAGGUUGAUCGGCCACAUUGGGACUGAGACACGGCCCAGACUCCUACGGGAGGCAGCAGUGGGGAAUAUUGCACAAUGGAGGAAACUCUGAUGCAGCGAUGCCGCGUGAGGGAAGAAGGUUUUAGGAUUGUAAACCUCUGUCUUCAGGGACGAAAAAAGACGGUACCUGAGGAGGAAGCUCCGGCUAACUACGUGCCAGCAGCCGCGGUAAUACGUAGGGAGCGAGCGUUGUCCGGAAUUACUGGGUGUAAAGGGAGCGUAGGCGGGAUCGCAAGUCAGAUGUGAAAACUAUGGGCCUAACCCAUAAACUGCAUUUGAAACUGUGGUUCUUGAGUGGAGUAGAGGUAAGCGGAAUUCCUAGUGUAGCGGUGAAAUGCGUAGAUAUUAGGAGGAACAUCAGUGGCGAAGGCGGCUUACUGGGCUUUAACUGACGCUGAGGCUCGAAAGCGUGGGGAGCAAACAGGAUUAGAUACCCUGGUAGUCCACGCCGUAAACGAUGAUUACUAGGUGUGGGGGGACUGACCCCUUCCGUGCCGCAGCAAACGCAAUAAGUAAUCCACCUGGGGAGUACGACCGCAAGGUUGAAACUCAAAGGAAUUGACGGGGGCCCGCACAAGCAGUGGAGUAUGUGGAUUAAUUCGAAGCAACGCGAAGAACCUUACCAGGUCUUGACAUCGUAUGCAUAGCUCAGAGAUGAGUGAA